CUGCAUAACCCCGACAACUCACAAAUUUGCUACUGAAGAGCCUUAUCCACAUUAGCUUAGAAGAAGAUAUGUGAUUUAUGAAAAUUUGCCUUUUAACCCUAUGCCACACAAAAAAUGCCCAAACAUUAUUUCAUAACCAUGAUUUUUGCCACAGUAACUUCUCCAAACAAUAACAAGUCAUCAACAAAGAAUAAGUGGGAAAGAGUUGGACAUUGACG
Molecule: long non-coding RNA, 218 nt
Filed under: Manihot esculenta (cassava)
Lineage: Eukaryota; Viridiplantae; Streptophyta; Magnoliopsida; Malpighiales; Euphorbiaceae
Description: long non-coding RNA (MESC_LNC010667)
Source: RNAcentral